RNAcentral lists this ribosomal RNA (400 nucleotides) under uncultured bacterium. RNAcentral's name for it is "bacterial SSU rRNA". It matches the Rfam family "Bacterial small subunit ribosomal RNA", at positions 355 to 747 of the family's 1533-position model. The record is from RNAcentral.
UGGGGAAUAUUGCACAAUGGGCGCAAGCCUGAUGCAGCCAUGCCGCGUGUAUGAAGAAGGCCUUCGGGUUGUAAAGUACUUUCAGCGAGGAGGAAGGGCAGGACAUGAAGAAUGUGUUGCCUUGACGUUACUCGCAGAAGAAGCACCGGCUAACUCCGUGCCAGCAGCCGCGGUAAUACGGAGGGUGCAAGCGUUAAUCGGAAUGACUGGGCGUAAAGGGCACGUAGGCGGUAGAUUAAGUCGGAUGUGAAAUCCCCGGGCUCAACCUGGGAAUGGCAUUCGAAACUGGUGUGCUAGAGUUUUGUAGAGGGGGGUAGAAUUCCACGUGUAGCGGUGAAAUGCGUAGAGAUGUGGAGGAAUACCGGUGGCGAAGGCGGCCCCCUGGACAGAGACUGACGCU